Molecule: long non-coding RNA, 520 nt
Organism: Biomphalaria glabrata
Lineage: Eukaryota; Metazoa; Mollusca; Gastropoda; Planorbidae
Exons: 4
Source: RefSeq, a predicted model, not a curated record
UGAGAUAUUGUAUUUAAGAGAUAUUCUAGCUCAGUAUAUGUUGUUUCCAUAUAUCAUCAUCUUAACAAGCACACAUUCUCUGCUGCCAACAGUACCAAUUUGUCAACCAAGCAACAAAUAUUCCUUGGUAAUCUGCUAUCAGAUAACAGUUUUCUCGUUGGCAUUUUUAUGAAUUAAAGCUUUCAAGGCUUAAUGUUUUGGUCAAGUUUCAGAUUUGUUUAGCAUAAUCCUGUACUACAUAUUAACAAAUGUUUGGUGUGUCUAGUUCAUCUCUCUCACUAUGAAGAUGGCUACACACUAUCAGCAAUGCACCCCUAUGAUAUACAAGUCUUCAUUGCCAAGUCACUCUGCCAAACAGUGUGUACACCUUUCUUGCAGUGGUAGUACUUUACUGUACUUCAAUCACUUCAGGAGUCUGGAUAUGUCAGCCCAAGGCCAAGGAGAUCAAGUUUGUGUCCAAGGUUACUUAGGUAAUUCUCUAAGAACAAUAGGUUUUUUUUUUUAAAGACACACACUACAU